AUGUUGACAUUCUACCAGAUGCCGAGAAAAAAUAAAAGAUCCCAGGCACAAAAGAAGCGCUGGAAACCACUUGACCUGGUCGAUCCUGCUGUCCCAAUGCUCACUGGCCACAACCAAGAUGAGGCAGUCAGUAGUUUUCCAUCUGACCAGACGGCACCAGCCGGGUUAUCUUUGGAAACACAGGAUAGACCCACCUCCUUAUGUUCCCCAGGUACCAAGACAGCACCAGCCAGCUUGUCCUUGGAAACUGAGAAUAGACCCACCUCCUCAUGUCCUCCAGGCAGCAAGAUUUCAGACAAUCGUCCACCAGCAAAAUGAGUCUGGGCAACUGAUGAUUUCCACACGGCAUCAAAUUCUCCACCUAAAAAGCCUUUCCACAACAUAAAUGAACAACUACUGACAGAGGAGCUACAGAGAAACGCAGUUCAGAACUUCUGGUGUGUCAGUGCAACUCAUUGUCAAAGUGAUGAAAGGUACACAGAAUUCUCUCGAAAUCAUCAGUGCACAUGUAAUGCCCUCACAUUCCUGGCCUACCUUAAUGAGGAACACCAGUUCAACACAGCCCGACUUGAUAAGGUGCUUGAACAGGGAGAUGCACUCUACUGUUGGAUUAAAACAAAUCUUCAGCAGGAGAGGCGUU
RNAcentral lists this long non-coding RNA (640 nucleotides) under Oreochromis niloticus (Nile tilapia). RNAcentral describes it as "lncRNA (ENSONIG00000024268.2)". Lineage: Eukaryota; Metazoa; Chordata; Actinopteri; Cichliformes; Cichlidae. The record is from RNAcentral.